GCUGGAUGAGUCAGUGCUGGAACUGACAAGCCAGAUUCUGGGAGCCAACCCUGAUUUUGCCACCCUCUGGAACUGCCGACGAGAGGUGCUCCAGCAGCUGGAGACUCAGAAGUCUCCUGAAGAGUUGGCUGCUCUGGUGAAGGCAGAACUGGGCUUCCUGGAGAGCUGCCUGCGGGUGAACCCCAAGUCUUAUGGUACCUGGCACCACCGAUGCUGGCUGCUAGGCCGCCUACCUGAGCCCAACUGGACCCGAGAGCUGGAGCUCUGUGCCCGUUUCCUGGAGGUGGAUGAGCGGAACUUUCACUGCUGGGACUAUCGGCGGUUUGUGGCCACACAGGCAGCCGUGCCCCCUGCAGAAGAGCUAGCCUUCACUGACAGCCUCAUCACCCGAAACUUCUCCAACUACUCGUCCUGGCAUUACCGCUCCUGUCUCUUGCCCCAGCUGCACCCCCAGCCGGAUUCUGGACCACAGGGGCGCCUCCCUGAGGAUGUGCUGCUCAAAGGUAAGCAGGGUCAGGGAUGCUCAGGAGGACUCUGCAGUGCCACCCUUCCAGCCCCCAUGCCUGACCCUGUUCCUGAACCUGUCACUCAGGUUUAUUGAGCACCUACUUCAUGCCUGGCUCCAGGGGUGCUUAAGAAUCAGUCCCU
This 648-nucleotide small RNA is filed under the name Pongo abelii (Sumatran orangutan). Its description in RNAcentral is "retained intron". Lineage: Eukaryota; Metazoa; Chordata; Mammalia; Primates; Hominidae. The record is from RNAcentral.